CUGAAAUACUCUUAAAACUACAUUUUGUGAAACAUUAGAUGAUAUUUUUUUAAACUUGCGGGUCUGCACAGCGGGGUAUUGUCCAUUGACUUUCACUUAGCAUUAGCAGCCAGCAAAUUUGAAUUCGUGUUGUCCAAUAGGAUUUUUGCCCGCGCCGUGCAUUCAUAAUGCCAGCUGAUUACGUGUGACGGUUAAUCUCCAGCUGUUGCACUGUUGUUCUGACGCUCUUCUCGGCGUCGAUGGAGGAUGGACCUGAAGGACGCAUAGAAGCUGGAAUACGCUCGUGAAGACGAAGCACAGACAUUUGCAGAAAAUGAAGUGGACGAGGAAGCAGUAGAGUGUAAUAACGUGAUUGCUGCAAUUGGUGAGGAUGCAUCAUCUUUUGAGAGUAAUGCGAAUGUCCUGCGUAUCCAGUGAAAUAAGGUGUGUGACCCUUUAUUAAAAACACCCUUGUCAGUGAGAUCACACAUUUUAAAUCAGUUCUCAGUUUAAAUGAAAAGUUUAAUGUCAGUAAUAGCCAAAGUGUAGGAUCAAAUGACUAUUAUAAAUGUUAUGACUAUCGUAAAAAAUUUUUAAUUUUUAAGCUUUGUGGUGAACAUAUGUGCAUUCAAGCUUACAACUAUUUGUACAAUGAUAACUAAAGGGAAAUGGCAACAAAGAAUAUUAGAUAAUGUUUUUAGUUAAAGUGAAUCACUAAUUUCCUUUUUGUUUAUUAUAG
Molecule: non-coding RNA, 718 nt
Organism: Danio rerio (zebrafish)
Lineage: Eukaryota; Metazoa; Chordata; Actinopteri; Cypriniformes; Danionidae
Source: RefSeq, a predicted model, not a curated record